CGGCCUACGGGGGGCAGCAGUGAGGAAUAUUGGUCAAUGGGAGGAAUCCUGAACCAGCCAUGCCGCGUGCAGGACGACGGCUCUACGAGUUGUAAACUGCUUUUGUACCGGGGUAAAAUGCCUUACGAGUAGGGUUUUGAAAGUACGGUACGAAUAAGGAUCGGCUAACUCCGUGCCAGCAGCCGCGGUAAUACGGAGGAUCCGAGCGUUAUCCGGAUUUAUUGGGUUUAAAGGGUGCGUAGGCGGUUUGAUAAGUUAGAGGUGAAAUGUCGGGGCUCAACCCCGAAACUGCCUCUAAUACUGUU
RNAcentral lists this ribosomal RNA (305 nucleotides) under uncultured bacterium. RNAcentral's name for it is "bacterial SSU rRNA". It matches the Rfam family "Bacterial small subunit ribosomal RNA", at positions 332 to 637 of the family's 1533-position model. The record is from RNAcentral.